Beta vulgaris subsp. vulgaris (sugar beet) is the source of this 197-nucleotide small nuclear RNA. It matches the Rfam family "U2 spliceosomal RNA". From Rfam's summary of the family: U2 is a small nuclear RNA (snRNA) component of the spliceosome (involved in pre-mRNA splicing). NCBI's taxonomy places the organism in Eukaryota, Viridiplantae, Streptophyta, Magnoliopsida, Caryophyllales, Amaranthaceae. The record is from Rfam.
AUACCUUUCUCGGCCUUUUGGCUAAGAUCAAGUGUAGUAUCUGUUCUUAUCAGUUUAAUAUCUGAUACGUGGGUCAUUGACCCACAACGAUAUUAAAUUUAUUUUUUAAGGGGGUGAAUCCAUCACAGUAGCUUGCUACUGGGAUUCUUAAGUGUCGCCCAUGCGUUGCACUACUGCACGGGCCAGGCACAUCCCAA